AGAAGAAAUUUGGUUUGACUCCUAUGUGGAAGGAGACAUGAACUAUCGUGAGGGUCAGAAGAAGGGGAUGAGAGAACCCAGACCUAGAAAGUGCUAGUGGAGACUUCCAAUAUGAAAUUAUUCCUUAUUUGCCUACACAGAAGAUGAGAUGAAGAGUUUGAUAAGUGACACUGACAAUGAGGGGAGCUCAGCCAGUAAACAGGCAUGUGAUUAACAAACCCUGAGAAAGGACAUGAUGAGCUGUGCCCCAUCAAGAGUUUGUAAUUCCACCCAGGAGAUUUGAGAGUAAGAAGAGAAGCUGAGAGUGACCAGAAUUAGGAUCACCAGGUGUGUUGGCAGUACAAGGGAACACAGAGGAUUCUGUCUGUACCUUCCACUUGCCAGUUCCUUUUCCUUUGCAAAACCAACAGAUUCACCUUUAACUAUUGAACCAUAAAGCAAAUGUCAUUGAAGUGCUA
Molecule: non-coding RNA, 458 nt
Organism: Taeniopygia guttata (zebra finch)
Lineage: Eukaryota; Metazoa; Chordata; Aves; Passeriformes; Estrildidae
Source: RefSeq, a predicted model, not a curated record